GACGAACGCUGGCGGCGUGCUUAACACAUGCAAGUCGAACGGAAAGGCCCUGCUUUUGUGGGGUGCUCGAGUGGCGAACGGGUGAGUAACACGUUAGUAACCUGCCCUUGACUUUGGGAUAACUUCAGGAAACUGGGGCUAAUACCGGAUAGGAGCUCCUGCUGCAUGGUGUGGGUUGGAAAGUUUCGGCGGUUGGGGAUGGACUCGCGGCUUAUCAGCUUGUUGGUGGGGUAGUGGCUUACCAAGGCUUUGACGGGUAGCCGGCCUGAGAGGGUGACCGGGCAAAUUGGGACUGAGAUACGGCCCAGACUCCUACGGGAGGCAGCAGUGGGGAAUAUUGCACAAUGGGAGGAAGCCUGAUGCAGCAACGCCGCGUGCGGGAUGACGGUCUUAGGGUUGUAAACCGCUUUCGCCUGUGACGAAGCGUGAGUGACGGUAAUGGGUAAAGAAGCACCGGCUAACUACGUG
This 468-nucleotide ribosomal RNA is filed under the name uncultured bacterium. RNAcentral's name for it is "partial 16S ribosomal RNA". It matches the Rfam family "Bacterial small subunit ribosomal RNA", at positions 28 to 507 of the family's 1533-position model. The record is from RNAcentral.